RNAcentral lists this ribosomal RNA (497 nucleotides) under uncultured bacterium. Its description in RNAcentral is "partial 16S ribosomal RNA". It matches the Rfam family "Bacterial small subunit ribosomal RNA", at positions 28 to 507 of the family's 1533-position model. The record is from RNAcentral.
GAUGAACGCUGGCGGCGUGCCUAAUACAUGCAAGUCGAGCGAACGGACGAGAAGCUUGCUUCUCUGAUGUUAGCGGCGGACGGGUGAGUAACACGUGGAUAACCUACCUAUAAGACUGGGAUAACUUCGGGAAACCGGAGCUAAUACCGGAUAAUAUUUUGAACCGCAUGGUUCAAAAGUGAAAGACGGUCUUGCUGUCACUUAUAGAUGGAUCCGCGCUGCAUUAGCUAGUUGGUAAGGUAACGGCUUACCAAGGCAACGAUGCAUAGCCGACCUGAGAGGGUGAUCGGCCACACUGGAACUGAGACACGGUCCAGACUCCUACGGGAGGCAGCAGUAGGGAAUCUUCCGCAAUGGGCGAAACCCUGACGGAGCAACGCCGCGUGAGUGAUGAAGGUCUUCGGAUCGUAAAACUCUGUUAUUAGGGAAGAACAUAUGUGUAAGUAACUGUGCACAUCUUGACGGUACCUAAUCAGAAAGCCACGGCUAACUUCGUG